GUCCUGCACACUUAUUUUGUAGUUCCACUUCCUUUUCGAGUGUCCUGCAGCAGCUUUAUUUUGUCUCCCAGCGCACCUGUUUUGAGUUUAGUCGUGCUAUUUAAGUCCAGCUGGUCUUUGUUGGGAGAUUGUUAUCUGUAUGUGUAGCCGAGCUAAAUUUUAUUUUAUUUAAUUUUGGUCAUUUAUUCACAUCAUUUUUUGUUGUGAACUUCCCCAAAAGUGUUUGUCAUUGUAAAUAGGUUCCACUCUAUUAUUUUCCGUUACAUACCUUUUUGUUCCCCUGGGGGGUGAUUUGGCGUCGCACCUUUGUGACCAGCUUCAGUGAGCACUGGCGCUCGAGCUGGUGAAUAAAUCCUCCACGAUUCAACUCCUGUGUGUGCGCCUCACUACGAAAUACACAACGCAGAACAGUGACUGUUACAUAUGGAUGCUGUUGAAUGCUGUUCCCUUUUUUGAGGCUUCCAACACUUGUCUGAGAGCUGUCCGGCGAAGAAGGAUCCGAUCAGGACUCCCACAAAAAAGAUGGUGGUGGUGAACGGCUUCUUCCACUUUUGGUCGCACACCAGGUCGAACUGAAAGAUGGACAUAAUCCAAGGAAAACACGUGAGGGCGACGUACCGUUCCCUCUGGCGUAUGUCCUGCAUGCUGUCAGGAAGAGGUCGCCCAAAACUCUCAGGAAGGAGAAUGGUGGCGAGGGCGGCCAAAACCGCCAAACUUCCCAAGACGAUGUACGGAAGAAACUUGGCGUAGGACCCUGUGUUGACGAGAGGCACCAGCUGCAUGACGUACAGCGUUAAGGCGGCGAGCACCAAGGUGCCGAUGACGGACAGCCUCCGCGAGACGUAGCGCAGCGCCAGCCAGCUGGAGACGUACGCCGGCAGCUCCACGGCGCCGGAGAUGAAGCAGCUGAGGUCCAAGAUGCUGUGUGGCUCUUUGGGGUCCGUCUUGGCCUUGGCCACCUGAUAAACCGGAAGCGGGUGUGACUACUUGCUGGAUUAUACCAGGAAUUGAGGUCUACUUACAUAGCCUUCGAAGAUGACACCAGGGGCCUGAACCUUGUUGAUUUUGGCCGCCUUCCUUAUGAUGGCCUCCGCCUCUUCGACCCGGUCCUGGCAGAGAAGCCACCGAGGAGACUCCGGGAUGAACCUGCACGGGAGGGUGAAACGGAAGCUGUGGCCGACCUCUGAAAGCGCGGAAGCUCAUAAAUGAUUCACUCACCACCAGAAAGGGAAGAAGGCCAGACAGGGCACGGACAGCACCAGCAGGAGAUUUUUCCAGUCCCUCACAAAGUAGGCACAAACCGGCAGCAGCAUGUAGCCUACGGCGAAUCCGGAGCAAGUUCCCAACGACGAAUACAGCAGGCGAACGUUGCCUGUUAAGAUCUCUGCUCCUACACACACACAUCCCGCGUGGAACAUAAAAAUUACGGUAAAAAAACAUGGAGAUAAAGGUGCACGGUACCUAGGACCAGAGCGGCCAUAUAGUUGGACAUCUGUCCCAAACCGUUGAUGACCAGGAGGAUGGUGAACAUCACCCAGGACACGGAAAAGACUUGAAUGAAGGUGAAGAUGGUCUGGAGAGCCAAAGUGACGAAGAGGAUGGGUUUCCUUCCGCAUCUGCAGCACAAAGGAUUAUUUACUGCGGAACAGGGGUGUCUAACUUGUUUUCAUUGAGGGCCACAUUGCAGUUAUGGCUGCCAUCAGUUACACGUAUUUGCCUCUGCAUUUGAUUAUUAAGAUUAAGGGGUGUCAAGCUCAUUUUAGAUCGGAUGCCACGUGGAGAAAAAUCUACUCCCAAAAGGGCCGAACUGGUGAAAUCACAGCACGAUAACUUAAAAAUAAAGACAACUUCCUAUUGUUUUCUUUGUUUAAAAAUAGAACAAGCACAUUCUGAAAAUUUACAAAUCAUAAUAAUGUUGGGUUUUUUUACACUUACAUGUUGCGGUUAUUAGUAUUCUAUAUUUAUUAGUCGUUAUUUAUAUUUUCUGACUAAAUUAUGUGAUAAUGUUCAUCAGUCAACUCUUUGGUGUUAAUUUUCCAUCUAUCAAGAUAAAAAAAUUAUAUCCAAAUCAAAUUACAGGAUGUUAUUUAUUUAGUUUGCUCAUUUUCCUCGACUGAUGUACUAACAUCAUGUGGUUUAUUUUGUACAUUUGUAGCAUCAUCUACAAAGAGACAAAUAAUUGCUAUUGCGACAUCCAGUGGACACAUUUAGAACAACAGUUCCUUUCAUUCAAAUGGUUAAUUUUUAUACUUAGCAAACUCAUCCCGCGGGCCAGAUAAAACCUGUCUGCGGGCCUAAUCCGGCCCUCGGGCCGUACGUUUGACACCCCUGACAUACACUGUAAAGGAACUGGCAAUCAGAUGCCACAAUUUUACUGUAAAACAUACAGUGUUUUUUUUUUACAUGUUACACACGGUAAAUAGAAAAACAGUAGCUUAGUCGCCAGAAUUUUACUGUAAAAUUAACAGUGUUUUUUUUUUACAGCAUAUUAUUGUAAAUAGAAAAUAACUCGACCACUGUUUUUUUACAGUAAAAUACUGGCAACUGAGCUGCUAGUUUUUUUUACCGUAAAAAUAAUGUGGUACUCUUUCCAUAUACAGUAAUACACCGUAAAAACAUUUUUUUUAGAUAGAUUUUACGGUAAAAGACUGGUAGCUCAGUCGACAGUAUUUUACCAUAAAAAAAACAAUAUGCUGUAAAAAUCCCCGUAAAUUUUACCGUACAAUCUAUAUUAUUUUUGUGUACAAUUUGAUGGAUGGAUGUCAGGCCGUGCCUUAUUUGGAGUUUGUUAGUGUUUUUUCCAUGUUUAAUGUUGAGUUCCUGUCCUGCACACUUAUUUUGUAGUUCCACUUCCUUUUUUAAGUGUCCUGCAGCAGCUUUAUUUUGUUUCCCAGCGCACCUGUUUUGAGUUUAGUCUUACUAUUUAAGUCCAGCUGGCGCCGCGGUCUUUGUUGGGAGAUUAUCUGUAUGGAUGCUGUUGAACGUUGUUCCCUUUUCUGAGGCUUCCAACACUUGUCUGAGAGCUGUCCGGCGAAGAAGGAGCCGAUCAGGAUGCCCACAAAAAAGAUGGUGGUGGUGAACGGCUUCUUCCACUUUUGGUCGCACACCAGGUCGAACUGAAAGAUGGACAUAAUCCAAGGAAAACACGUGAGGGCGACGUACCGUUCCCUCUGGCGUAUGUCCUGCAUGCUGUCAGGAAGAGGUCGCCCAAAACUCUCAGGAAGGAGAAUGGUGGCGAGGGCGGCCAAAACCGCCAAACUUCCCAAGACGAUGUACGGAAGAAACUUGGCGUAGGACCCUGUGUUGACGAGAGGCACCAGCUGCAUGACGUACAGCGUUAAGGCGACGAGCACCAAGGUGCCGAUGACGGACAGCCUCCGCGAGACGUAGCGCAGCGCCAGCCAGCUGGAGACGUACGCCGGCAGCUCCACGGCGCCGGAGAUGAAGCAGCUGAGGUAGGUGUUGUCGUGGAGCUGCGUGGUGUUGAAGGAGAUGCCGUAGUAUCCUGCCGACAUGGUGAAGCUGGGGACACAGGAAAUAUACCUUACGCCACCGGCAUGGCAACAUCUGGCCACUAGAGGGCGUUUUCCCACAACACAAUCAGCUGUUACCUAUGUGGAUGCUUUUCUACUGUGGGAAAACCUGAGAUGAAUAAACAGAAAGAAGACUAACAGGUAUGUCGUACCUGUAUAACAGUGUCAGUUUACUGCAAGCCAACACUUGGAGGACAACAAAACGUGCGACUG
Long non-coding RNA from Entelurus aequoreus (snake pipefish), 3746 nucleotides. RefSeq lists it as uncharacterized. Lineage: Eukaryota; Metazoa; Chordata; Actinopteri; Syngnathiformes; Syngnathidae. The transcript has 9 exons. The record is from RefSeq and is a predicted model, not a curated record.